CAGCAGCCGCGGGAAUACGGAGGGUGCAAGCGUUAAUCGGAAUUACUGGGCGUAAAGCGCACGCAGGCGGUUUGUUAAGUCAGAUGUGAAAUCCCCGAGCUUAACUUGGGAACUGCAUUUGAAACUGGCAAGCUAGAGUCUUGUAGAGGGGGGUGGAAUUCCAGGUGUAGCGGUGAAAUGCGUAGAGAUCUGGAGGAAUACCGGUGGCGAAGGCGGCCCCCUGGACAAAGACUGACGCUCAGGUGCGAAAGCGUGGGGAGCAAACAGGAUUAGAUACCCGCGUAGUCCCUGUCUCUUAUAC
This 301-nucleotide ribosomal RNA is filed under the name uncultured bacterium. RNAcentral describes it as "partial 16S ribosomal RNA". It matches the Rfam family "Bacterial small subunit ribosomal RNA", at positions 509 to 807 of the family's 1533-position model. The record is from RNAcentral.